GCCAUUUUCGAGUGAUGCCUGAUCUCAUCAAUCUAGCGGGAGAGACAGGAUAACCUGUCCGAGAGUAUAGCGCCACUAUGACUCCGCCGGAAAAAUUACUUUAAAAAUCGCCAAAAAUUACUUGGAGCAAAGGGCAGUCGGCGGAGCUUCGCCAAGGCUGGCGCAGUCGGUAAGAGCCUGAAGAAGUAGCAGAGCGGGACUCGGGAGGUGGCAGUGGUGGGACCCGCAGGCAGUGGUGGGUGCAGGGAGUGGGCGCGGGGUCUACUCUCACUUAAUCGCGAAAAAUCCGAGGAAGUAGGGUUAGGGGCAACUUGGGCGUCUGCGAGUGGGCGGCGGCGGGCGGAAUGUGGCGGGAGCGCGGAGAGACGGGGCUGUGGGGGGAGGGGAGCUGCAGUUUGAGCGGGACGCGGACCGGCUGCGGCGGAGCAGCCGCCGCCCAGCGGAUCUGUCAGCAAGACCCCCCGCCCGGGACCGGAGCCGGGGACGGCGCACUGCGGGGUCUCUGCAGGCGGCCGCUCCUUGACAGGAGGACUGGACGCGCGCCCCUCCCCCAUUUCCGAACCGGGCCGCCUUUUCUCGCCGUUUUCUCGACCCGGUGAUGGCCGUCAUCUCGUGACAAGAAACUUAAGGUCGACAGAAAAUUCAGGACCCGGAGUCAUGGGUCCCUCCGGUGGGUCGUGGCAACAGUCCCCCCCGCCACCGCCCGGCACCCAUCUAUCUAUAUUGUCUUUUGACGCUGAAGCGUGAGGUGCCCCAGGAAAGAGUUUCCCAAGCCCUGGCUGCCCUCCCCCGGCGCGCUGGGUCCCGGUGAGGUCUCUAGGUAGGUAGGACUGGCCGCGGCUCGCGCUUCCAAGAUGGGGCAGGGGCAGGCUUUUGAGGUUGUAGCGGGCUCUUAGGAAAGAUGCUGGACUUUAGCUUCUUUCUGGGGAUUUUUGUCAUUUGCUCUCGCAGCGUUGUCCUUUCUCAAAGGGGAGGAGUGUUCACGGGUGAGAUGAAAGAUGGGGCUUCGAGCUAACGAUUUCCUUCUCGUGGCUAUUUCCUCCGAGUCGCACUUUCUUAGAAGACUUUUUUCUUCUCCGGUGUUUGAAACAUGUCGCAAGGAAAAAAGCAAUCUGUGAAACUAUUAAUGUUUUCCUCCCCCAAAAGUCUUUACCCGGACAACUUAACGGUAAUUUUGCGAUCCCCACCUUUUCUUGACGCUGAGGAGGAGGGACGAGAGUUGUUAUUUGUCUUUCCCUUCGGUGAUUUUUUUUUUCCCCCUUAGCUGGUGGUUUCUAUCAAUUCUUACUCCACAGCUCUUGAGUGAUGUGAGCCAGUGACGGCAUUAACUUUAGGUAAUACUUCUAUGGCCUUUGUAAAAAUCCCGCGUUAAGGAUGUAUUAGAUCUUGAGUUCUUUUCCGCGCUGGAGGCACCACUAGAUUAACCCUUUGCCGGUGUAUUGCGUGUGGGGCGCACGGCUCUGGGUUGCAAAUAUUCCGGAGAUGCUUUCUGCAGCAGCUAUUCUGUUCAGUUGUUCGCAAAGAGGAAUAACGCUUCCUGGGAACCGCGGUGACACGCUUCUUUAGGACUGCCUGCCUACAGAGUUUUUCCCCGUGGAAUUGAUGUAACGAUUGAUUUAUUUCUUAUAUUCUAUGAAGACUGGGGGACCCGCCCUCGCUUAGAAUGUUUCCCGGAGGAGAAUAGAAGAGUGCAAUGUGAUGUUUUUCAAAUUGUGUCUAACGGAGCUCCCUAAACUCUGGACUUGUUACCCCCUGAUUGGCUGGAAGGAAGCGGGCCUGGGGGGUUUGAAUGUUGAACGCUAAACUAUAAUUCUCGACUUUACGAAAAAAUAUACUUUUAGCCAGAGAACCACGGAAAUAGCUACGAAACGUU
RNAcentral lists this long non-coding RNA (1873 nucleotides) under Homo sapiens (human). Lineage: Eukaryota; Metazoa; Chordata; Mammalia; Primates; Hominidae. The record is from RNAcentral.